This 484-nucleotide ribosomal RNA is filed under the name uncultured bacterium. RNAcentral's name for it is "partial 16S ribosomal RNA". It matches the Rfam family "Bacterial small subunit ribosomal RNA", at positions 28 to 523 of the family's 1533-position model. The record is from RNAcentral.
GACGAACGCUGGCGGCGUGCUUAACACAUGCAAGUCGAACGAUGAACCCGGAGCUUGCUCCGGUGGAUUAGUGGCGAACGGGUGAGUAACACGUGAGUAACCUGCCCUUGACUCUGGGAUAACUGCGGGAAACUGUAGCUCACACCGCAUACGACCCCCGGAGGCCUCCCCGGGGGGUGGCAAGACUUUCGGUCAAGGAUGGACUCGCGGCCUAUCCGCUAGUUGGUGAGGUAAAGGCUCACCAAGGCGACGACGGGUAGCCGGCCUGAGAGGGUGACCGGCCACACUGGGACUGAGACACGGCCCAGACUCCUACGGGAGGCAGCAGUGGGGAAUAUUGCACAAUGGGCGCAAGCCUGAUGCAGCAACGCCGCGUGAGGGAUGACGGCCUUCGGGUUGUAAACCUCUUUUAGCAGGGAAGAAGCGAAAGUGACGGUACCUGCAGAAAAAGCACCGGCUAACUACGUGCCAGCCGCCGCAGUAA